CUUUAAGAUGCCAUCUUGAACUAAGUCAGGAAAAUUUCCAUGACGUAUACACCCUUUAGUUAUGGCCUUGUAUGUUUGCCAAGUUAAGGGAGGUCCUAAAUUGAAUAAAGUAAAAGAAGUGUUACUUUUUCAUAUAUGAACUACGGUAACCCUAAAAUGGAGACACUUAAGGUAUAAAUAGGUGUACUUUUAAAUGUUAAGACACAGAGGAGAGACUUGGAGACAGACGCUGCUCCAUCUUAAAAUGACAGAGAGGCUGACAUGAU
Molecule: non-coding RNA, 266 nt
Organism: Pelobates cultripes (western spadefoot toad)
Lineage: Eukaryota; Metazoa; Chordata; Amphibia; Anura; Pelobatidae
Source: the annotation of a GenBank genome assembly